Molecule: ribosomal RNA, 253 nt
Filed under: uncultured bacterium
Lineage: Bacteria
Description: partial 16S ribosomal RNA
Rfam family: Bacterial small subunit ribosomal RNA
Source: RNAcentral
UACGUAGGGUGCGAGCGUUGUCCGGAAUUAUUGGGCGUAAAGGGCUCGUAGGCGGUUUGUCGCGUCGGGAGUGAAAUCCACUGGCUUAACUGGUGGCUUGCUUUCGAUACGGGCAGACUGGAGGUAUGCAGGGGAGAACGGAAUUCCUGGUGUAGCGGUGGAAUGCGCAGAUAUCAGGAGGAACACCUAUGGCGAAGGCAGCUCUCUGGUACGACACUGACGCUGAGACGCGAAAGCGUGGGGAGCGAACAGG